Molecule: ribosomal RNA, 297 nt
Filed under: uncultured soil bacterium
Lineage: Bacteria
Description: partial 16S ribosomal RNA
Rfam family: Bacterial small subunit ribosomal RNA
Source: RNAcentral
AGGACGAACGCUGGCGGCGUGCUUAACACAUGCAAGUCGAACGGGUUCCAAUCAUUCGCAAGAAUGAGGAAGAACUAGUGGCGAACGGGUGCGUAACACGUGAGGAACCUAUCCCAGUCUCUGGAAUAACAGGUGGAAACACCUGCUAAUACCGGAUGCCGUUGGACCAUCGCAUGGUGGACCAACGAAAGAUUUAGUCGGAUUGGGAGGGCCUCGCGGCCUAUCGAGUCCGUUGGUUGGGCGGGGUAACCGCCCAACCGAAGGCUUCGACGGGUAGCGUGGUCUGAGAGGAUGAGU